RNAcentral lists this ribosomal RNA (253 nucleotides) under uncultured bacterium. RNAcentral describes it as "partial 16S ribosomal RNA". It matches the Rfam family "Bacterial small subunit ribosomal RNA", at positions 524 to 776 of the family's 1533-position model. The record is from RNAcentral.
UACAGAGGGGGCAAGCGUUGUUCGGAACUACUGGGCGUAAAGGGCGCGUAGGCGGCCGCCUAAGUCAGACGUGAAAUCCCUCGGCUCAACCGGGGAACUGCGUCUGAUACUGGGUGGCUUGAAUCCGGGAGAGGGAUGCGGAAUUCCAGGUGUAGCGGUGAAAUGCGUAGAUAUCUGGAGGAACACCGGUGGCGAAGGCGGCAUCCUGGACCGGCAUUGACGCUGAGGCGCGAAAGCCAGGGGAGCAAACGGG